CCUACGGGCGGCAGCAGUGAGGAAUAUUGGUCAAUGGACGAGAGUCUGAACCAGCCAAGUAGCGUGAAGGAUGACUGCCCUAUGGGUUGUAAACUUCUUUUAUAAAGGAAUAAAACGAGGCACGUGUGCUUUUUUGCAUGUACCUUAUGAAUAAGGAUCGGCUAACUCCGUGCCAGCAGCCGCGGUAAUACGGAGGAUCCGAGCGUUAUCCGGAUUUAUUGGGUUUAAAGGGAGCGUAGAUGGGUUGUUAAGUCAGUUGUGAAAGUUUGCGGCUCAACCGUAAAAUUGCAGUUGAGACUGGCAGUCUGGAGUACAGUUGAGGUGGGCGGAAUUCGUGGUGUAGCGGUGAAAUGCUUAGAUAUCACGAAGAACCCCGAUUGCGAAGGCAGCUUACUAGACUGUGACUGACAUUGAGGCUCGAAAGUGUGGGUAUCAAACAGGAUUAGAUACCCGAGUAGUC
RNAcentral lists this ribosomal RNA (460 nucleotides) under uncultured bacterium. RNAcentral describes it as "partial 16S ribosomal RNA". It matches the Rfam family "Bacterial small subunit ribosomal RNA", at positions 338 to 795 of the family's 1533-position model. The record is from RNAcentral.